This 465-nucleotide ribosomal RNA is filed under the name Vreelandella stevensii. RNAcentral describes it as "partial 16S ribosomal RNA". It matches the Rfam family "Bacterial small subunit ribosomal RNA", at positions 338 to 795 of the family's 1533-position model. The record is from RNAcentral. Lineage: Bacteria; Pseudomonadati; Pseudomonadota; Gammaproteobacteria; Oceanospirillales; Halomonadaceae.
CCUACGGGGGGCUGCAGUGGGGAAUAUUGGACAAUGGGGGCAACCCUGAUCCAGCCAUGCCGCGUGUGUGAAGAAGGCCCUCGGGUUGUAAAGCACUUUCAGUGAGGAAGAACGCCUGGUGGUUAAUACCCAUCAGGAAAGACAUCACUCACAGAAGAAGCACCGGCUAACUCCGUGCCAGCAGCCGCGGUAAUACGGAGGGUGCGAGCGUUAAUCGGAAUUACUGGGCGUAAAGCGCGCGUAGGUGGCUUGAUAAGCCGGUUGUGAAAGCCCCGGGCUCAACCUGGGAACGGCAUCCGGAACUGUCAAGCUAGAGUGCAGGAGAGGAAGGUAGAAUUCCCGGUGUAGCGGUGAGAUGCGUAGAGAUCGGGAGGAAUACCAGUGGCGAAGGCGGCCUUCUGGACUGACACUGACACUGAGGUGCGAAAGCGUGGGUAGCAAACAGGAUUAGAUACCCUAGUAGUC